CGGGACCGUCCGGCAGGCUCCGGCAAGCCGGCUGGUUCUCUGGGGGUCAAGGGGUCGUCGGUUCGAAUCCGGCCGUCCCGA
This 81-nucleotide transfer RNA is filed under the name Verrucosispora sp. WMMC514. RNAcentral's name for it is "tRNA-OTHER". Lineage: Bacteria; Bacillati; Actinomycetota; Actinomycetes; Micromonosporales; Micromonosporaceae. The record is from RNAcentral.